UCUUAUAUACAUGCCUACAAUGUUAAUGCAUUGGAUCACAUCAAAACUCCAUAGUUAAGCACUCUUGGGAUAGAAUAGUAUUGGGAUGGGUGACCUCCUGGGAAGUCCUAGAGUUUCACAUGCC
This is a non-coding RNA of Picea glauca (white spruce), 124 nucleotides long. Lineage: Eukaryota; Viridiplantae; Streptophyta; Pinopsida; Pinales; Pinaceae. The record is from Rfam.